GGUGGGCGUGGUGGUGCAUGCCUGCGAUCCCAGCUCCUCAGGAGGCUGAGGCAGGAGAAUCAAAAAUUCGAGGUCAGCCCCAGCAAUUGAGACCCUGUCUCAA
This 103-nucleotide small RNA is filed under the name Marmota monax (woodchuck). Lineage: Eukaryota; Metazoa; Chordata; Mammalia; Rodentia; Sciuridae. The record is from RNAcentral.